UAUUGGUAUGCCACACGCCUGUCCAGGU
Molecule: small RNA, 28 nt
Filed under: Bombyx mori (domestic silkworm)
Lineage: Eukaryota; Metazoa; Arthropoda; Insecta; Lepidoptera; Bombycidae
Description: ovarian small RNA-24261
Source: RNAcentral